AUUGAACGCUGGCGGCAGGCCUAACACAUGCAAGUCGAACGAGUGGCGGACGGGUGAGCAAUGUCUGGGACACUGCCUGAUGGAGAGGGAUAACUACUGGAAACGGUAGCUAAUACCGCAUACCAUCAGAUGUACCCAGAUGGGAUUAGCUUGUUGGUGGGGUAACGGCCCACCAAGGCGACGAGCCCUAGUUGGUCUGUGAGGAUGACCAGCCACACUGGAACUGAGACACGGUCCAGACUCCUACGGGAGGCAGCAGUGGGGAAUAUUGCACAAUGGGCGCAAGCCUGAUGCAGCCAUGCCGCGUGUAUGAAGAAGGCCUUCGGGUUGUAAAGUACUUUCAGCGGGGAGGCGUUACCCGCAGAAGAAGCACCGGCUAACUCCGUGCCAGCCGCCGCGGUAAUUC
Molecule: ribosomal RNA, 406 nt
Filed under: uncultured bacterium
Lineage: Bacteria
Description: partial 16S ribosomal RNA
Rfam family: Bacterial small subunit ribosomal RNA
Source: RNAcentral